Molecule: ribosomal RNA, 540 nt
Filed under: uncultured bacterium
Lineage: Bacteria
Description: bacterial SSU rRNA
Rfam family: Bacterial small subunit ribosomal RNA
Source: RNAcentral
UGAGGAAUAUUGGUCAAUGGGCGAGAGCCUGANCCAGCCAAGUAGCGUGCAGGAUGACGGCCCUCCGGGUUGUAAACUGCUUUUAGUUGGGAAUAAAAAAAGGGACUUGUCCCUUCUUGUAUGUACCUUCAGAAAAAGGACCGGCUAAUUCCGUGCCAGCAGCCGCGGUAAUACGGAAGGUCCAGGCGUUAUCCGGAUUUAUUGGGUUUAAAGGGAGCGUAGGCGGAUUGUUAAGUCAGCGGUUAAAGGGUGUGGCUCAACCAUGCAUUGCCGUUGAAACUGGCGAUCUUGAGUGCAGACAGGGAUGCCGGAAUUCGUGGUGUAGCGGUGAAAUGCUUAGAUAUCACGAAGAACUCCGAUCGCGAAGGCAGGUGUCCGGGCUGCAACUGACGCUGAGGCUCGAAAGUGUGGGUAUCAAACAGGAUUAGAUACCCUGGUAGUCCACACAGUAAACGAUGUAUACUCGCGGUUUGCGAUAGACAGUAAGCCGCCAAGCGAAAGCAUUAAGUAUACCACCUGGGGAGUACGCCGGCAACGGUG